Molecule: unclassified non-coding RNA, 341 nt
Filed under: soil metagenome
Description: partial contains 5.8S ribosomal RNA, internal transcribed spacer 2, and large subunit ribosomal RNA
Rfam family: 5.8S ribosomal RNA (bases 1-120)
Source: RNAcentral
GAUGAAGAACGCAGCGAAAUGCGAUAAGUAGUGUGAAUUGCAGAAUUCAGUGAAUCAUCGAAUCUUUGAACGCACAUUGCGCCCUUUGGUAUUCCAAAGGGCAUGCCUGUUCGAGCGUCAUUUGUACCCUCAAGCUUUGCUUGGUGUUGGGCGUCUUGUCUCUAGCUUUGCUGGAGACUCGCCUUAAAGUAAUUGGCAGCCGGCCUACGGGUUUCGGAGCGCAGCACAAGUCGCACUCUCUAUCAGCAAAGGUCUAGCAUCCAUUAAGCCUUUUUUUCAACUUUUGACCUCGGAUCAGGUAGGGAUACCCGCUGAACUUAAGCAUAUCAAUAAGCGGAGGA